RNAcentral lists this ribosomal RNA (859 nucleotides) under uncultured bacterium. RNAcentral describes it as "bacterial SSU rRNA". It matches the Rfam family "Bacterial small subunit ribosomal RNA", at positions 26 to 882 of the family's 1533-position model. The record is from RNAcentral.
GAUGAAACGCUGGCGGAAUGCUUUACACAUGCAAGUCGAACGGCAGCACGGGGGCAACCCUGGUGGCGAGUGGCGAACGGGUGAGUAAUACAUCGGAACGUGCCCAGUCGUGGGGGAUAACUACGCGAAAGCGUAGCUAAUACCGCAUACGAUCUACGGAUGAAAGCGGGGGAUCGCAAGACCUCGCGCGAUUGGAGCGGCCGAUGGCAGAUUAGGUAGUUGGUGGGGUAAAGGCUCACCAAGCCUGCGAUCUGUAGCUGGUCUGAGAGGACGACCAGCCACACUGGGACUGAGACACGGCCCAGACUCCUACGGGAGGCAGCAGUGGGGAAUUUUGGACAAUGGGCGCAAGCCUGAUCCAGCCAUUCCGCGUGCAGGAUGAAGGCCCUCGGGUUGUAAACUGCUUUUGUACGGAACGAAAAGGCUCUUUCUAAUACAAGGGGCUCAUGACGGUACCGUAAGAAUAAGCACCGGCUAACUACGUGCCAGCAGCCGCGGUAAUACGUAGGGUGCAAGCGUUAAUCGGAAUUACUGGGCGUAAAGCGUGCGCAGGCGGUGAUGUAAGACAGUUGUGAAAUCCCCGGGCUCAACCUGGGAACUGCAUCUGUGACUGCAUCGCUGGAGUGCGGCAGAGGGGGAUGGAAUUCCGCGUGUAGCAGUGAAAUGCGUAGAUAUGCGGAGGAACACCGAUGGCGAAGGCAAUCCCCUGGGCCUGCACUGACGCUCAUGCACGAAAGCGUGGGGAGCAAACAGGAUUAGAUACCCUGGUAGUCCACGCCCUAAACGAUGUCAACUGGUUGUUGGGUCUUCACUGACUCAGUAACGAAGCUAACGCGUGAAGUUGACCGCCUGGGGAGUA